RNAcentral lists this ribosomal RNA (505 nucleotides) under uncultured bacterium. RNAcentral's name for it is "partial 16S ribosomal RNA". It matches the Rfam family "Bacterial small subunit ribosomal RNA", at positions 28 to 507 of the family's 1533-position model. The record is from RNAcentral.
GACGAACGCUGGCGGCGUGCCUAACACAUGCAAGUCGAACGCACAGUUUAUACCUUAGCUUGCUACACCAUAGACUGUGAGUUGCGAACGGGUGAGUAACGCGUAGGUAACCUGCCUGGUAGCUGGGGAUAACUAUUGGAAACGAUAGCUAAUACCGCAUAAUAUUAAUUAUUGCAUGGUAAUUAAUUGAAAGGUGCAAUUGCACCACUACUAGAUGGACCUGCGUUGUAUUAGCUAGUAGGUGAGGUAACGGCUCACCUAGGCGACGAUACAUAGCCGAACUGCGAGGGUGGUCAGCCGGACUGGGACGGAGACACGGCCCAGACUCCUACGGGAAGGAGCAAGAGGGCAACUUCGGCAAGGGGCGAAAGACUGACCGAGAAAGGCCGCAGGAGGGUAGAAGGACGUCGGAUCGGAAAGGUCGGUUGUAAGGGAAGAAAGGGCGUGAGAGUGGAACGUUGACAGUGUGACGGUAACUGACCAGAAAGCACCGGCUAACUACGUG